UGGCGAACGGGUGAGUAAUGCGUGACCAACCUGCCCCAUGCUCCAGAAUAGCUCUUGGAAACGGGUGGUAAUGCUGGAUGCUCCAACUUGACGCAUGUCUUGUUGGGAAAGUGUUUAGUGGCAUGGGAUGGGGUCGCGUCCUAUCAGCUUGUAGGCGGGGUAAUGGCCCACCUAGGCUUCGACGGGUAGCCGGCCUGAGAGGGCGGACGGCCACAUUGGGACUGAGACACGGCCCAAACUCCUACGGGAGGCAGCAAGA
RNAcentral lists this ribosomal RNA (259 nucleotides) under uncultured Gardnerella sp. RNAcentral's name for it is "partial 16S ribosomal RNA". It matches the Rfam family "Bacterial small subunit ribosomal RNA", at positions 96 to 353 of the family's 1533-position model. The record is from RNAcentral. Lineage: Bacteria; Bacillati; Actinomycetota; Actinomycetes; Bifidobacteriales; Bifidobacteriaceae.